This 492-nucleotide ribosomal RNA is filed under the name uncultured bacterium. RNAcentral's name for it is "partial 16S ribosomal RNA". It matches the Rfam family "Bacterial small subunit ribosomal RNA", at positions 29 to 507 of the family's 1533-position model. The record is from RNAcentral.
AGUGAACGCUGGCGGUAGGCCUAACACAUGCAAGUCGAACGGCAGCACAGUAAGAGCUUGCUCUUACGGGUGGCGAGUGGCGGACGGGUGAGGAAUACAUCGGAAUCUACUUUUUCGUGGGGGAUAACGUAGGGAAACUUACGCUAAUACCGCAUACGACCUACGGGUGAAAGCAGGGGAUCUUCGGACCUUGCGCGAUUGAAUGAGCCGAUGUCGGAUUAGCUAGUUGGCGGGGUAAGGGCCCACCAAGGCAACGAUCCGUAGCUGGUCUGAGAGGAUGAUCAGCCACACUGGAACUGAGACACGGUCCAGACUCCUACGGGAGGCAGCAGUGGGGAAUAUUGGACAAUGGGCGAAAGCCUGAUCCAGCCAUACCGCGUGGGUGAAGAAGGCCUUCGGGUUGUAAAGCCCUUUUGUUGGGAAAGAAAAGCAGCAGGUUAAUACCCCGCUGUUCUGACGGUACCCAAAGAAUAAGCACCGGCUAACUUCGUG